This 62-nucleotide transfer RNA is filed under the name Hydrophis curtus (Shaw's sea snake). RNAcentral's name for it is "tRNA-Phe". Lineage: Eukaryota; Metazoa; Chordata; Lepidosauria; Squamata; Elapidae. The record is from RNAcentral.
GUUAUCAUAGCUUACAACCAAGCACAGCACUGAAAAUGCUAAGACAGCCCAACUUUAUAACA